Molecule: ribosomal RNA, 799 nt
Filed under: uncultured Glomeraceae
Lineage: Eukaryota; Fungi; Glomeromycota; Glomeromycetes; Glomerales; Glomeraceae
Description: SSU rRNA
Rfam family: Eukaryotic small subunit ribosomal RNA
Source: RNAcentral
AUCAACUUUCGAUGGUAGGAUAGAGGCCUACCAUGGUGGUAACGGGUAACGGGGUGUUAGGGCACGACACCGGAGAGGGAGCCUGAGAAACGGCUACCACAUCCAAGGAUGGCAGCAGGCGCGCAAAUUACCCAAUCCCGACACGGGGAGGUAGUGACAAUAGAUAACAAUACGGGGUUCUUUAGGAUCUCGUAAUUGGAAUGAGUACAAUUUAAAUCUCUUAACGAGGAACAAUUGGAGGGCAAGUCUGGUGCCAGCAGCCGCGGUAAUUCCAGCUCCAAUAGCGUAUAUUAAAGUUGUUGCAGUUAAAAAGCUCGUAGUUGAAUUUCGGGGUCAGUAGGUUGGUCGUGCCACUGGUAUGUACUGGUCUCACUGAUUCCUCCUUCCUGAUGAGCUGUAAUGCCAUUAAUUUGGUGUUGCAGGGAAUCUGGACUGUUACUUUGAAAAAAUUAGAGUGUUUAAAGCAGGCUAACGCUUGAAUACAUUAGCAUGGAAUAAUGAAAUAGGACGUUCGAUCCUAUUUUGUUGGUUUCUAGGAUCGACGUAAUGAUUAAUAGGGAUAGUUGGGGGCAUUAGUAUUCAAUUGUCAGAGGUGAAAUUCUUGGAUUUAUUGAAGACUAACUACUGCGAAAGCAUUUGCCAAGGAUGUUUUCAUUAAUCAAGAACGAAAGUUAGGGGAUCGAAGACGAUCAGAUACCGUCGUAGUCUUAACCAUAAACUAUGCCGACUAGGGAUCGGAUGAUGUUAAUUUUUUAAUGACUCAUUCGGCGCCUUACGGGAAACCAAAGUGUUUGGGUUC